RNAcentral lists this ribosomal RNA (460 nucleotides) under uncultured bacterium. RNAcentral's name for it is "partial 16S ribosomal RNA". It matches the Rfam family "Bacterial small subunit ribosomal RNA", at positions 338 to 795 of the family's 1533-position model. The record is from RNAcentral.
CCUACGGGUGGCAGCAGUGAGGAAUAUCGGUCAAUGGACGAGAGUCUGAACCAGCCAAGUAGCGUGAAGGAUGACUGCCCUAUGGGUUUUAAACUUCUUUUAUAUGGGGAUAAACUGUUCCGCGUGUGUGCUUUUGUAUGUACCAUAUGAAUAAGGGUCGGCUAACUCCGUGCCAGCAGCCGCGGUACUACGGAGGAUUCUAGCGUUAUCCGUAUUUAUUGGGUUUAAGGGGAGCGUAGGUGGAUUGUUAAGUCAGUUGUGAAAGUUUGCGGCUCAACCGUAAAAUUGCAGUUGAAACUGGCAGGCUUGAGUACAGUAGAGGUGGGUGGAAUUCGUGGUGUAGCGGUGAAAUGCUUAGAGAUCACGAAGAACUCCGAUUGCGAAGGCAGCUCACUGGACUGCAACUGACACUGAGGCUCGAAAGUGUGGGUAUCAAACAGGAUUAGAUACCCUAGUAGUC